AAAGGGAAGUCUGGGGUCCCUUGGUGGAGCUGAUGCCCCCACGACCCGGUCCCGAAUAAGCGGUUGAAGAUGAGUUAGUGAGUAGUCAUCUGGAGGAGU
Molecule: long non-coding RNA, 99 nt
Organism: Thalassophryne amazonica
Lineage: Eukaryota; Metazoa; Chordata; Actinopteri; Batrachoidiformes; Batrachoididae
Exons: 3
Source: RefSeq, a predicted model, not a curated record